GGCAGUAAAUACAGACAGAAUGAUCCCUCUCUCUUUUCCCAUGAGAACACAAGCUGCACUAACUGGGGGGGAGGAGGCAGGUGGAAAAUGUAACCUUUCCCUGUAAAUAAGGCUCAGCAUGGUCCAUGCUCCUUUCAAUAAUCACCACACAGCAACCCAGGAGUUCCACAAGAAAAAUAUAAUUAGGUUCCAAAGGACAGAAGUUUGCAGGCACAGUCACAUACACCAUGUCAGAACCUCAGUGCUCUUGUCUAUUAUAUCUAGACACAAAAUUUUACAAAACCAGCCAUACAAAUUUUAAAUAUGUUUACAAAGAUGAAAACAUAAAGAAAUGAAGACUAUGGAAUUUUGUUUGCCAACAGUUUCACUUUGAAUCCUGUCUUGUGUGAAAACCAGACAGUUCAUCAGAAAGUGUAUUUGAUACUCUAUGCUAGAAUUUCAGUAGACAACAUUGAUGAAAUCCUAAGCAUCAAUAGUCUAGGACAAAUAACUAUAAUAAUCCUAAGAUGUGAUCUUUGAUUAUUCCCCUAAGUACUGCUGCUAUAAUUUUCUACUUAUUGAACCUUUAUUUAGGGAAUAAAACUGACAUGAGAAUUCUAUCUCAGGAAAGAGAAUAACCUUAAUUAAAUCUUCAAUCCCAACUUUUAAAGCUUAGCUUCUCUGCUCACCUAUAACUAUUUUUGGUUCGCUGCUAACUUCUAAAGUGUCCUAAGACAAUUGGUGUGAUGUGAAGUCCCUUUGUCUGGAAGGUGCUCACAUUUCGUUUUAUUUGAAGCCAUAGGGCAUUGAAGUCUUCCCUUCCCAAACCAGACAGAGAAUGUCACCCGUUUAACACUCAGACCGCCCACCCAGGUGCCAGGUCCUCUGUAGCUGGACCGUCCUCUGUAGCUGGACGUCUGCAGCAGAGUGUUACUGCCCACAGUUCAGCUCCUGAGCACUGAGCUUAGGUCACAGGACAGACCCUUUCCACAGUCACCUUGGGGAAGCUUGACGAUGAAAUCAGAGACAAGACAUGAAGCUGAGCCUGGAGGGCUCUGCUACAAGGAAGCAGUGCAGUGGGUCCAGAGUGGUGCCGCCUGUGUGUGUGUGUGUGUGUGUGUGUGUGUGUGUGUGUGUGUGUGAUGCCAGCGCACGGCCAGCCACUGAGACGUACAGACCCACCCCAGGCUGAGGGCUGGCCCCUGGCCCCCGAGGGGGAAGCAGGGCUCUGCUCAGCACCAGGCACCAGCCACUGCCUGUCUGCUGCAGCUUCUCCUUUAAGGCAAGCCCUCGAGGCUACAUGAAGGAGAAUCACACACCGGCCCUCACCCUGCGGGAGGGUUCCAGUGGUUUCCCAGCAUGACGGCCAGGCUGUCAGCAGACAGGACACCCAACACCCACUGUAGCACCAUAUUUAAGCCUGAAGUGAGGUAAACAAACUCUCAGGUAACUUUGGGUAGAAAUUUCAGUAGCAAUUUUGUGUGGAUUAUUUGGAGGGGGAGGGGGUCUUUAUUCUUCAAUUUUGUUAUAAUAGCAAUUUUGAAUGAGGUGUACACAGCAGUAUUCUUUCUGAUCAUUAAAAUAAGUUGUUUGAAGAGCCAUUUGAUCCCAAGUAUGUAUAUAUAAGUAUAUAUCAAAAUUAAAAAAUUAUCAAGCCAAGUGGGUAAGCUUUUGGCAGGAGAAAUGUAGCCAAUCAGAACCCUCAUUUUUGAAAUCUAAACCAUGUCACUGUUGGGCUGGUGAAGCCAAGGGUUUUGAUCAAGGACACAAGCCAAUCACAGGGCUGGCUCAGCCGAAGGCAGGGCCCGGCAAUGCCAGUUCUCAGAGCAAGGUCAAGGGCACCGUAGACAUCCUGUGGACACCCAGCUCCAAUGGGAGUGGGCCUACCUGUCCUGCUUGUUGCUCCAUUUAAUGAGCAGGUGGGUAGCUUCUCUCUUCCCCAACUAUUCUAAUGCGUAUGGACAAACCUCUCUGGAACUUAUACUUACCGUUUGAAGACACCUGCUAGAGGAAUACAGAGGGAGAGACCCUCACCUUGGCUGUCAUUUACAAGGGGUAAAUAUAUAUAUCAGCAAAUGAAAACAGACUUGAGAUAAGGGAUAACUGGAAACAAUUCUCUAAUUGAGUUCCUCCAAACUGGUAAGGUGAAAAAAUAAGAUGUAAAGAAUUAAUGAAACUUUUCAGAUUGUCCCCACCCCCUUAAUGUUACUCAACACAGAAGAGAAAUAAGAAACCUUAGAUGGAGCUGUUUGGGGGCAUAAAAAACUAACUUUCCAGAGGAGAACAGUGACCAUCCUCGUG
Pipistrellus kuhlii (Kuhl's pipistrelle) is the source of this 2280-nucleotide long non-coding RNA. RefSeq lists it as uncharacterized. The record is from RefSeq and is a predicted model, not a curated record. The transcript is spliced from 2 exons. Lineage: Eukaryota; Metazoa; Chordata; Mammalia; Chiroptera; Vespertilionidae.